AGGUACGUGGAAAUAUCCGUUUUACGGAACCGAAUUAUGUGCUAAAAAACUGUGCCACGCUUUUUAGAUUUUUUUUUAACUAGCGUUGGGAAGACGUGUUUAGUUAAAAAACUUUUUAGAAUUUGAUAUCAAUAUAGAUUAUUUUUAGAAACUUGAAUAGUUAAUCUUUAUUACUGUGAGCUUCAUUAUUUUACUGGAUGGCUUUUUUAUUGAGUUUUUUGAUGUCUAAAACUUUGUUGUACUUUGGGCAUGAAAUUAAUGUCGAAGUAUCAUCUAUAGCUGCUCUAUCUGGUAAGGUUUUUUUAUUUUAACUUUUUAAUAUAUUUUUAAUAUUCAAAUUUUAAUAAUAACUUCAAGAUUGGUAUGUGUAUUAUAUGCUUCCAUAUUUUAAAGUUAUUUAAAAAUUGUAUUUUUUUACUUUGUAACAUGAUUUAAUAAAAAAAAUCAUGCAAUAUAUUUUAUACUAAUCCAACUGGUAAGUUUAUUUAUUUUAACUUUGUAAUAAGACUUUCAUAGCAAGGUAAUUAUGAAAAUAAUAAAUUAUUAUGAUUUUUUUUUUUUAGUACCACCAUUAUCUGUUUCAGCUGUUCCACCUUCCACAGAUCUAACUGGUAAGGUUGUAUAUUUUUGCUUUGCAAUAUGAUUUGCAAUAAGAUUGUGUAAAAUGCUUUUUCAUUUCUUUUUUAGUGCCAUCAUCAUCUACUCCAACUGUGCCAUCAUCAUCUACUCCAACUGUGCCAUCAUCUGCUCUAACUGGUUGGGGGAGGGGGUUACACGCCCCUUCCGUACAUCAAUGCAAGUUGUGUAUUUGAAUUCCUGUAAAAUAUAGUUUUAUUAUGUAUACUAUUGAUUUCAAUGUAGUAAAGAUAAAAAUUUUAAUGAAAA
Non-coding RNA from Hydra vulgaris (swiftwater hydra), 885 nucleotides. Lineage: Eukaryota; Metazoa; Cnidaria; Hydrozoa; Anthoathecata; Hydridae. The record is from RefSeq and is a predicted model, not a curated record.